Molecule: transfer RNA, 64 nt
Filed under: Cavia porcellus (domestic guinea pig)
Lineage: Eukaryota; Metazoa; Chordata; Mammalia; Rodentia; Caviidae
Rfam family: tRNA
About the family: Transfer RNA (tRNA) molecules are approximately 80 nucleotides in length. Their secondary structure includes four short double-helical elements and three loops (D, anti-codon, and T loops). Further hydrogen bonds mediate the characteristic L-shaped molecular structure. tRNAs have two regions of fundamental functional importance: the anti-codon, which is responsible for specific mRNA codon recognition, and the 3' end, to which the tRNAs corresponding amino acid is attached (by aminoacyl-tRNA synthetases). tRNAs cope with the degeneracy of the genetic code in two manners: having more than one tRNA (with a specific anti-codon) for a particular amino acid; and 'wobble' base-pairing, i.e. permitting non-standard base-pairing at the 3rd anti-codon position.
Source: Rfam by way of RNAcentral
GGGGAUUUAGCUCAGUGGCAUAAGCACCUGCCUUGCAAACAGGCAGUCGUGAGUUCAAUCCCCA